GGCAAGAUGGCCGAGCGGUCUAAGGCGCUGUGUUCAGGUUCACUUCUGAGUAUCGCAGUCCGAAAGGGCGUGGGUUCGAAUCCCACUCUUGUCA
RNAcentral lists this transfer RNA (94 nucleotides) under Sordaria macrospora k-hell. It matches the Rfam family "tRNA". Rfam says of the family: Transfer RNA (tRNA) molecules are approximately 80 nucleotides in length. Their secondary structure includes four short double-helical elements and three loops (D, anti-codon, and T loops). RNAcentral also lists the same sequence under 1 other name. The record is from Rfam by way of RNAcentral. Lineage: Eukaryota; Fungi; Ascomycota; Sordariomycetes; Sordariales; Sordariaceae.